CGAAAACGAAACGGUCGACGCGAAAAUAGAAUAACAAGAGAAAAAAAUGCUUCUAGAAAGACCCAGGAAACGAUGGACUGAUGAGAUGAAGAAGAUUUUAUAUGUUUGGUGGUUAAAAACUAGUGAAUGGUAGUUCAAGAUGAAUAGAUAAGUGCCAACGUUUAGUUAUAGCAGAAGGAGUUGAAUACGAGAAUCGAAGAAGGAAAAGUCAAAAACCGACUCUCAUGACAAAAAUAAAAUAAAAAUUCUUACUCUUUAAAAUCUUUAUUUAUCCAUGAUUUAGCCCUCGCAUAAAAAAAAUUACUUUAUUCAAUUUUUGUUCACACACAUACUUAUAUACAGGUAUAUAUCAUCGUUAUGCAAAUAAUAAAAUCUCCGUCUCUGUCCUAUAUAACAAUAAUUCUGUACUUUCUCACGACUAUAAUAUAUGGGCAAGUAUACAUACC
This is a non-coding RNA of Cinara cedri, 446 nucleotides long. NCBI's taxonomy places the organism in Eukaryota, Metazoa, Arthropoda, Insecta, Hemiptera, Aphididae. The record is from the annotation of a GenBank genome assembly.